This is a long non-coding RNA of Stomoxys calcitrans (stable fly), 661 nucleotides long. RefSeq lists it as uncharacterized. The transcript is spliced from 3 exons. The record is from RefSeq and is a predicted model, not a curated record. NCBI's taxonomy places the organism in Eukaryota, Metazoa, Arthropoda, Insecta, Diptera, Muscidae.
UUGCCUAGUGGCAAUGCACUGGUUUGCAAAACUGGUUUUUUGCAACUUUUCUACCUGCUUUGGGUUUCAAAUCAGAUUUGCAUUAGUAUUGGUGGUAUUUUUCCGUGGAACUUUUCGAAAUAGCUGCAAUUUUCCAAAUUUCUGGAAAAUUUGCGUGCCCUUCGCAACCCUUCCAAUCCUUUUUUCCUCUAUAAAUAGUUGCAGCGACGCCAAGGUCUUUCUAUUGUUUGUUUCACGCACACCUGGAUCUUGGACGUCGCAGCUGCAAACCUUUUUGUCUUGUCUUGGACUUUUGUUCAUGGCGACAUAAACAUUGGUUGAAGCCAUAAUUUUCUUGGAUUCCUUUGACAAGGAUUUGGAUCCUCUCGCGUAAAUAAUCCUGGUUUUUUUUCUGCAAGAAUUGCCGAUUUUUCCCCUUUUUCUGUGGCUCCGAGCUCAUCUUUGCAUUUUGUUUUUACACAAUUGUUGUGUAUGCAGAAUCUCUGCGUAAGAGAGGCAUUUUUAUUGGUUUUGGAAGGCCAUAACGACUUUGGAGUACACUACUUUUUGGGUACGGGCAACCCUCAUCGGAAACCCGCAACAAUUUUCUAGUUGGAACUCUGCUGAAGGCAGCCUAGGCGAAGCAAAUUUACCCUACAUCAAGUGUGAUUAGUGAAAGUGU